GACGAACGCUGGCGGCGCGCUUAACACAUGCAAGUCGAACGGAAAGGCCUGCUUUCCCUUGUGGAUUGCGGGUACUCGAGUGGCGAACGGGUGAGUAACACGUGAGUGAUCUGCCCCCAACUUGGGUAUAAGCCUGGGAAACUGGGUCUAAUUCCCGAUAGGACUGCAGGGUGGUGCCUGUGGUGGAAAACGAUUUUCUAGUGGUUGGGGAUGAGCUCGCGGCCUAUCAGCUUGUUGGUGGGGUAAUGGCCUACCAAGGCGGCGACGGGUAGCCGGCCUGGGAGGGUGGACGGCCACAUUGGGACUGAGAUACGGCCCAGACUCCUACGGGAGGCAGCGGUGGGGAAUAUUGCACCAUGGGCGGAAGCCUGAUGCAGCGACGCCGCGUGGGGGAUGACGGCCUUCGGGUUGUAACCUCCUUUCGACCGCGAGGAAGCCACCUGGUUGGAAGGGUGGUGACGGUAGUGGUAGAAGAAGCACCGGCUAACUACGUG
Molecule: ribosomal RNA, 494 nt
Filed under: uncultured bacterium
Lineage: Bacteria
Description: partial 16S ribosomal RNA
Rfam family: Bacterial small subunit ribosomal RNA
Source: RNAcentral